CCUACGGGAGGGCAGCAGUGGGGGAAGUUUUGGUACAAUGGGCGGCAAGCCUGAUCCAGCAAUGCCGCGUGAGUGAAGAAGGCCUUCGGGUUGUAAAGCUCUUUUGUCAGGGAAGAAACGGUCUACUCUAAUACAGUGGGCUAAUGACGGUACCUGAAGAAUAAGCACCGGCUAACUACGUGCCAGCAGCCGCGGUAAUACGUAGGGUGCAAGCGUUAAUCGGAAUUACUGGGCGUAAAGCGUGCGCAGGCGGUUAUAUAAGUCAGAUGUGAAAUCCCCGGGCUCAACCUGGGAACUGCAUUUGAGACUGUAUGGCUAGAGUGUGUCAGAGGGGGGUAGAAUUCCACGUGUAGCAGUGAAAUGCGUAGAUAUGUGGAGGAAUACCGAUGGCGAAGGCAGCCCCCUGGGAUAACACUGACGCUCAUGCACGAAAGCGUGGGGAGCAAACAGGAUUAGAUACCCUGGUAGUCCACGCCCUAAACGAUGUCUACUAGUUGUCGGGACUUAAUUGUCUUGGUAAACGCNGCGUACGCGUGAGUAGACCGCCGUCGGGUAAGGUACGGUACGUUCGAAGUAAGUUAAACGUUAACGUAAGUUAGAGUUAGACGGCGNGAGACGNGACGACGGACGACGACGAGGAGGAGG
RNAcentral lists this ribosomal RNA (645 nucleotides) under uncultured bacterium. RNAcentral describes it as "bacterial SSU rRNA". The stretch from base 1 to 547 matches the Rfam family "Bacterial small subunit ribosomal RNA", at positions 338 to 873 of the family's 1533-position model. The record is from RNAcentral.